Molecule: long non-coding RNA, 995 nt
Organism: Cygnus olor (mute swan)
Lineage: Eukaryota; Metazoa; Chordata; Aves; Anseriformes; Anatidae
Exons: 3
Source: RefSeq, a predicted model, not a curated record
UGAUUGCCCAAUGCUUGUCUGAUGGGCUUGAAAGGAGGGGGAGGGAGGCUGAGCCAGUAUCCUCAGAACUGAUGAUUAUCAUCCCAGAACGACCUCAAAGAUGUCAUGAAGGCCUGCUACCCGAGUCAUUCCCUGUUCAGCUCAAUGUAGUCAUACCAUAAACAUCCCAACCAUCAAUGCAGCAACAUCACCCGCCGAAUAUCCCGAUUGGUUGCUCACAUACGCUACUCAAGUAUUACUAGGGAGAAUAUACAUCUUCAUCACAUCAUCAGAGUGGGAUUGUAUUUUUCCAGUCUCUUGUGAGUCAGUGGUGAGCAAGUGGGACGUGUGGCCAGUGUCCGGUGGUGGUGCUCCACGCAUACGCAUGUCUGGGGGAGUAAUCAGCUGCACGGCCACAAUCUAACCUCAGCCUUCCUCUGCGGUCCCACACUCAACCUGGAAGCCAGAGACCCAGGGCAGAGCCCGGCUUCACUGACCCCAGGUGGAGGAGAGCUCUGGUUUGAAGGCAGCGCUGGGGAGAGGGACUCUGAUGCACAACACGUGCCUUAGAGAGAGGGCGAAUGAUGCACUCCGACCUGUACUCCCAAGAAGGAGGCGAUGAUAACAGCAGAGCUGGAUAAUAUCACUGCUCCGAUGCUCAGAAAGCCUUUGAGCUUUGUCUGCUCUCAGGUUUUCACCAUUUGGCACCAAGAUAUUGCAGCACAGCUCCCCAGUAGAUGCAGCCAGAGGGCAUCAGGCACUGUGUGACUGCUUGGAAGAAGAGGAGAUGCUCCUUGCCUGCCCUACCACAGCGCCCACAGCGACUGCAGUUCCCACUGCCCAGUUGUGAGGAGCAGCAUCUGGGAGGUAGCGGGUAAAGACCGGUGGCUGAUACCUUCAGCAUUUCAAUAAGUGUCUUGGCCACAGAGGGUCAGUGGUCCUAGGGGUGGCCCCAGCUCCCACAUGGAGCUCUGCUUGAAAAAGAAAAAAAUUAAAAUUAAAAAACAGGAGAGAGU